RNAcentral lists this long non-coding RNA (197 nucleotides) under Fukomys damarensis (Damara mole-rat). Its description in RNAcentral is "lncRNA (ENSFDAG00000033181.1)". The record is from RNAcentral. Lineage: Eukaryota; Metazoa; Chordata; Mammalia; Rodentia; Bathyergidae.
CGGAUGUAAAACAGAGGGAAGAAGAGCUCCUGUGGUGUUGGAGGAAGCAGAAAAGGGAGUGGCAACUCCAGACUCUGGGGCAGAAAGGAAGGUACGAUUUCCAAAGCAGACCUGGACCAGGGCCUCAGCAGAACACAGCCCGUGAGCAAUGGUGUCAGUUAUGGAUCAACUUCGAGUCACACGAAAGAUACAAGCAC